GACAUAGGUCGCGAACGUUAUCCGGAAUUAUUGGGCGUAAAGGGUGCGUAGAUGGCGUGAUAAGUUAAUAAUGGGAAAUCAGAGCUUAACUCUGUGGAAGUUAGUAAUACUGUUAUGCUAGAGGAUAGGAGAGGUUAACGGAACUCCAUGUGGAGCGGUGAAAUGCGUAGAUAUAUGGAAGAACAUCAAUUAUGGCGAAGGCAGUUAACUAUUCUAUUCCUGACGUUGAGGCACGAAAGCGUGGGGAGCAAAAAGG
This 256-nucleotide ribosomal RNA is filed under the name uncultured bacterium. Its description in RNAcentral is "partial 16S ribosomal RNA". It matches the Rfam family "Bacterial small subunit ribosomal RNA", at positions 524 to 776 of the family's 1533-position model. The record is from RNAcentral.